AGCGUAGGCGGCGCGGUAAGUCAGAUGUGAAAUCCCGGGGCUCAACCCCGGAACUGCAUCCGAUACUGCCGUGCUAGAGGACUGGAGAGGCAACUGGAAUUCUCGGUGUAGCAGUGAAAUGCGUGGAUAUCGAGAGGAACACUCGUGGCGAAAGCGAGUUGCUGGACAGUAUCUGACGCUGAGGCUCGAAGGCCAGGGUAGCGAAAG
Molecule: ribosomal RNA, 207 nt
Filed under: uncultured bacterium
Lineage: Bacteria
Description: partial 16S ribosomal RNA
Rfam family: Bacterial small subunit ribosomal RNA
Source: RNAcentral